GACGAACGCUGGCGGCGUGCCUAAUACAUGCAAGUCGAGCGGACUUUCAAGAAGCUUGCUUUUGAAAGUUAGCGGCGGACGGGUGAGUAACACGUGGGCAACCUGCCUGUAAGACGGAGAUAACUCCGGGAAACCGGGGCUAAUACCGGAUAAUAUCUUUCUUCGCAUGAAGGAAGGUUGAAAGGCGGCGCAAGCUGCCGCUUGCAGAUGGGCCCGCGGCGCAUUAGCUAGUUGGUGAGGUAACGGCUCACCAAGGCGACGAUGCGUAGCCGACCUGAGAGGGUGAUCGGCCACACUGGGACUGAGACACGGCCCAGACUCCUACGGGAGGCAGCAGUAGGGAAUCUUCCGCAAUGGACGAAAGUCUGACGGAGCAACGCCGCGUGAGCGAAGAAGGUCUUCGGAUCGUAAAGCUCUAUUGUCAGGGAAGAACAAGUACCGUUCGAAUAGGGCGGUACCUUGACGGUACCUGACCAGAAAGCCACGGCUAACUACGUGCCAGCCGCCGCGGUAA
This 514-nucleotide ribosomal RNA is filed under the name uncultured bacterium. Its description in RNAcentral is "partial 16S ribosomal RNA". It matches the Rfam family "Bacterial small subunit ribosomal RNA", at positions 28 to 523 of the family's 1533-position model. The record is from RNAcentral.